CCCGCUGCAGCCGCGGCCGGGCCGGCCGUCACGGGCUGGGGGUGCUGAGCAGCUGCAGGUGGCGGCGCCGCGUUCUGUUUACAUCGGGCGGAAAAUUUAGCUUUUGUUCUUCAUUGUGAGACUGAGAGCUUCACACAAAAAGAUUAAGAGAUCUGAAUGAAUCAUUGGAUUGGAAAGAAGAAUUUCCUGCUGGAGAGAGAGGGGGGAAAGAAGGGUAUCAGUCUCUUCUUACAAAGGACCAAAUUCAUCACUAGUACAACAUUCUGAUUUCCUUGGAAGUCACUGUUCCUGCCACUGUUCCAUGGCCUGGGAGUGUUUGGAGAACACAGAAGGGAAACUUGCGAUGGCCCUCUAGACAAUGCAAUCAUGCACGGUUUCAGCAAAGGCAGUAAGUGCCAAUACUGUGAUGAGAUGUUCACUGCUCUUUCCUGUUGGCUGCCACAAUGGUACAAACCACCAAGCUGGCUUUAGUUUAAGGGAGGAAGCCAAGGAAAUAAUAGCUAAGUGUAGUACUGUAGGUAUUAUUAUUAACUACAGUCAUAUUACUUACAAAUAUACACAUAUAACCUCCAUAUCAUUAUUUUAAAUUAUUUUUAAAUUUUAGACUUUUAUUAAUAUCAUUAUGGAUUUUUUUAAAAUACAAAAAUAUACAUUUGAAAAACUACCACUCAUCCUUCCUUUUUUUUUUCAACCCCUGCCAUGGUACAAGACCAAUCACAGGCAGUGACAGAAGUCAUAACGUAACAACCCAGUAUAUAUGAGGUUGGUCAAGUUCAGCCUGAGGUACACAUUUUUUACUAACAUUUGCUGUAUUUCCCUUUUCAUUAUACCUGAUUCCAUCUUUAGUUUUGAUCAUUUAAUUCAGACUAGUUAUGGUACAGGUGCUUGUCCUGAUUUACCUCUUACACCACCUCUGAUUUCAGCCUCACCUCUGAUUUCUGUAUAUAUUUCUUUCAGCAGCUGGAAUUAAGCAGGAUCUAACCAGAGUUUUGUCUUCCUUCACCCUCCUGUGUUCUCAGCAGUCACCGGCAGCAGCCCUUGGAUUCCUGUUCAGUUGGGUUGUGUGCAAUGUUGCAGAAAUCAUAAAGGAGAUUCUUUUAGAAAUACAGAAAUCAAAACUGCCGGGAAAAAGGAGCCAGACAGCGCCUUUCAGAAAAAAACAGUACAAGCAGAGGGAUUCCAAAUAGGCAAAGGAUAUCUUUAAAUAUUGGGAAUUGCUUAUUAAGCACAUGAAGCUGUAGAGGCCGUACAGUCCUAGGCAAUGACAGCACAAUAGCAUGGAUAUCCUGAAGUAGGCCUGACAGUCCUACUGAUCUAAAGAUUAUGUUAUUAUGUUCCUCUACUAUAAUACAUUCAUUUUUGCAUGUAAAAAUCUUUUUUUUUCCUAGUGAGAUAUGUUAAAUAAAGUUCUUACAUGUUUUUGACUGCA
Molecule: long non-coding RNA, 1429 nt
Organism: Vidua macroura (Pin-tailed whydah)
Lineage: Eukaryota; Metazoa; Chordata; Aves; Passeriformes; Viduidae
Exons: 2
Source: RefSeq, a predicted model, not a curated record